RNAcentral lists this ribosomal RNA (256 nucleotides) under uncultured bacterium. RNAcentral describes it as "partial 16S ribosomal RNA". It matches the Rfam family "Bacterial small subunit ribosomal RNA", at positions 524 to 776 of the family's 1533-position model. The record is from RNAcentral.
GACGAACCACACGAACGUUAUUCGGAAUCACUGGGCUUAAAGGGUGCGUAGGCGGCGCGGAAAGUAGGGUGUGAAAUCCCUCGGCUCAACCGAGGAAUAGCGCCCUAAACUACCGUGCUCGACGGGAGAUAGGAGGUGAGCGGAACUUAGGGUGGAGCGGUGAAAUGCGUUGAUAUCCUAAGGAACACCGGUGGCGAAAGCGGCUACACUGGAUCUCUUCUGACGCUGAGGCACGAAAGCUAGGGUAGCGAACGGG